This 494-nucleotide ribosomal RNA is filed under the name uncultured bacterium. RNAcentral's name for it is "bacterial SSU rRNA". It matches the Rfam family "Bacterial small subunit ribosomal RNA", at positions 30 to 524 of the family's 1533-position model. The record is from RNAcentral.
AUUGAACGCUGGCGGAAUGCUUUACACAUGCAAGUCGAACGGCAGCACGGGGCAACCUGGUGGCGAGUGGCGAACGGGUGAGUAAUACAUCGGAACGUGCCCAAUCGUGGGGGAUAACGUAGCGAAAGUUACGCUAAUACCGCAUACGCCCUGAGGGGGAAAGUGGGGGACCGCAAGGCCUCACGUUAUACGAGCGGCCGAUGUCGGAUUAGCUAGUUGGUGGGGUAAAGGCCUACCAAGGCGACGAUCCGUAGCGGGUCUGAGAGGAUGAUCCCCCACACUGGUACUGAGACACGGACCAGACUCCUACGGGAGGCAGCAGUAAGGAAUAUUGGACAAUGGAGGCAACUCUGAUCCAGCCAUGCCGCGUGAAGGAUUAAGGCCCUAUGGGUUGUAAACUUCUUUUAGACGGGACAAAACCCCUUUACGUGUAAAGGGUUGAUGGUACUGUCAGAAUAAGCAUCGGCUAACUUCGUGCCAGCAGCCGCGGUAAU